This 577-nucleotide ribosomal RNA is filed under the name Zelleromyces gardneri. RNAcentral describes it as "eukaryotic LSU rRNA". The stretch from base 189 to 342 matches the Rfam family "5.8S ribosomal RNA". The record is from RNAcentral. Lineage: Eukaryota; Fungi; Basidiomycota; Agaricomycetes; Russulales; Russulaceae.
CGUAACAAGACGUGGGAGGCGCUUAAAGGCUGUCGCCGACUCGAAAGGGUCGUGCACGCCGGGAGGGUGUCCUCUUGUGUCAUCGCGUGGGCUUCCUCCUCGAGGGGGCUCGCGUUUUUCACACAAACCCCCUUUGUAAAUGUCUGUAGAAUGUCCUCAUUUUGUUUGCGUUGACACGCGAUCAAUACAACUUUCAACAACGGAUCUCUUGGCUCUCGCAUCGAUGAAGAACGCAGCGAAAUGCGAUACGUAAUGUGAAUUGCAGAAUUCAGUGAAUCAUCGAAUCUUUGAACGCACCUUGCGCCCCUUGGUAUUCCGAGGGGCACACCCGUUUGAGUGUCGUGAAAAUCUCAACCUCCUUGGUUUCUUUUGGAUGCCAAAGGAGGCUUGGACUUUGGAGGGCUUUGCUGGACUUAAAAGGCCAGCUCCUCUCAAAUGAAUUAGCGAGGUUCCCUUUGCCGAUCCUCGACGUGUGAUAAGAUGCUUCCACGUCUCGGUCUUUGGCUCUGUCGCCUCUUGGGACCUGCUUCCAAUCGUCUCUCGACGAGACAAUGUUCGAGCUUGCCUCGACCACGUA